This 459-nucleotide ribosomal RNA is filed under the name uncultured bacterium. RNAcentral's name for it is "bacterial SSU rRNA". It matches the Rfam family "Bacterial small subunit ribosomal RNA", at positions 923 to 1379 of the family's 1533-position model. The record is from RNAcentral.
GCACAAGCGGUGGAGCAUGUGGUUUAAUUCGACGCAACGCGCAGAACCUUACCAGCCCUUGACAUCCCGGUCGCGGUUUCCAGAGAUGGAUUCCUUCAGUUCGGCUGGACCGGAGACAGGUGCUGCAUGGCUGUCGUCAGCUCGUGUCGUGAGAUGUUGGGUUAAGUCCCGCAACGAGCGCAACCCCCGUCCUUAGUUGCUACCAUUUAGUUGAGCACUCUAAGGAGACUGCCGGUGAUAAGCCGCGAGGAAGGUGGGGAUGACGUCAAGUCCUCAUGGCCCUUACGGGCUGGGCUACACACGUGCUACAAUGGCGGUGACAAUGGGACGCUAAGGGGCAACCCUUCGCAAAUCUCAAAAAGCCGUCUCAGUUCGGAUUGGGCUCUGCAACUCGAGCCCAUGAAGUUGGAAUCGCUAGUAAUCGUGGAUCAGCAUGCCACGGUGAAUACGUUCCCGGGC